Non-coding RNA from Coturnix japonica (Japanese quail), 1950 nucleotides. NCBI's taxonomy places the organism in Eukaryota, Metazoa, Chordata, Aves, Galliformes, Phasianidae. The record is from RefSeq and is a predicted model, not a curated record.
GGAGGGAAGCUGUGAGAAGCCAUCUUUGUCACCUUUCCCCUUAAUUCCAAGCUGCUACAUCCCCUACUGCUCCUGACCCCUUGGCUUGACAUUGGAGCUGGCCCUUAAGCCCGCCCCACCUCAGCAGACUCAUCUGGACUCCUGGCUGACCCGUUUGUUGCCACUGGCUCUGCCCUGCUCUUUUGUAUGGAGAGCAUGCCUUUGAAAGCAAAGCCACUAGCUCUGCUCUCCUUGUAGUCACACUCAGCUCCUGCCCCUUCUGCUUCCUGACAGCUUAGCUGUGUUCACUUGUAAGCUUGUUGUUGCAUGGGGCUUUUUAAAACUAUAAUUAUUUUUUAUUUGAUAAAUGUUGUAUAUGCUUUCAAAAUGGAAAAAAAAAGUGUUGUUUUUGUGUUUCGCCAACAACAUAUGGAGAUGUAAGCAGCAAUCUUAUGAAUUUUAUUAAAUCUUUACAUAUCUGAUAAGAAAAAGUGCCAAAAUGACUAAACAGGUUUGGUGAGAUAAUCCUGUUACCACCUUCUUUUGUAUGAUGCAGGAUUAUGAAUGACUUUCCACCACCUUUAGUAUUUACUUUCCAUGCUGUAGAAGGUAGUAUGACAUAGACGUGCAUGACAUCAUUGCUAUUGAUCUAAAAGAAUGUACUUGCAACAAAAAUAACAAAUCAACCACCUGAAGACAACAGAAUUAUAACCAUGUUCUCUUAACUGUGCCUGUAGAAAAGCUCAUUUCAGGAUGACACCCCUACAAAUGAUGAAAGAAAGCUAGAAGGUAAAAUUUAACAACCAGUUGGUAGCUUUUCAUAAUUUUAAAACAGAAUCUGAAGAUGUAGUACAGUCCUACUUUUUAAAGUAAUUAUCUUGGGUUAAAUUCAGGGAGCAUGUUUAAUCUGUGCUGGUAAGAGCAAUAUAUUUGUCUCGUAAGGAUGUUUCUGGAUCCAAGUGCAAAUUUAAAUUUACAUCAAGUUCAGAUGACCUCGUCUUGCAGACCAGUUUAAUGACUAAUUUAGUAGCCCUUAGUAACAUUUAAUAGCCUAAGAUUUACUACUACUUCUAAUUAAUCAGUAUAAUUUCUUCUUUAAUUGUUGUCAAUAGCAUUAUUGUUUUUCUUCAGAUUUAAGAGGCUUCAGAUCUGAUUAUCCUGUCAUUGGGUGUACAUAUGGCAACUCUUAUAAAACACUGCUUGCAAGAAAGGACCUGCUGUUGCAAUGGAAUCAUCUACGAUCAUUUUAUAUGGAUUUCUCAAAGAGACUGAGGCAUUUGUGCACACUGUUGAGAUUCCCCUUUCAGAAAUGCUUUCCUGGAGAAUUUUUUCACAGAAUCACAGAAUCACGGAAUGACCCGGGUUGGAAGGGACCUCAAGGAUCACAAAGCUCCAACCCCCCUGCCUGGCAGGGCCACCAAACUUCCACCUUCCCAGGGACUGAGUGGCAUCUAAAUACUUUGGUCUUGCAGAAGUGUCCACUGGAGCAAGUUAAGCACCCCAGCUAAGGGCAAGCACACAGAACUGGAAAAAUACCUUCGAUCAACCCCAACUUCUCUCUCAAGAUGAACUAUAUGCAGGAGUUUUCAGAAGAGAACUGUCUUCUCAGACCAAGACCCAAACCAACCACCUUUGAAGUGGGAGAGCUGGCUUUCACUUUUAGAGCUUCUCAUGGCACAGACCUGUAAGCUAACAGCCCUGAUCUUGGACACAGCUCCAGGCAGACACCCCUUGGGAAUACCCUCAUUCUCUUAGGAAAUCAAAUCACAGAAGUAGUUUAAAGCCAUUUCUCUGUGACCUGUCACCUGCAAUGGAUCUCCCCAGAGCCUUCUCCAGGCUAAAUGAGCCCAGCUGCAGCAUCCUCAAUAAAGCUUAGCUCUGCAGUCACAUCACAACUUCAACUCAUGUUUUACAACUUUUGUUCUCCCAGAGUCCACAGUAAAGGACCAAAAUAAAAUAAAUAAAUACUUA